GGGGGAGGGGUAAGGAAAAUGGAGAGACGCUGGUCAAAGAAUACAAACUUUCAAUUAUAAGAUGAAUAAUAGACAACAUUCAAAAGCUCAACUGGUACCCCAAGAGAACAUGCACAUUAUCUGAGAGAGAAACUACUGGGAGAUCUGUAGAUGUCAAAGCAAGUUCAAGGGAAUGAUGUAACAGAAGGUGCAUUUUGUACUUGCUUUGGGAUUCAGCUGAGUUUGUGAAUUUCUCCUGAUGUCAAGGCAAAUCAAGUUACUCCAGGAGACAAUGAUCACAGCCCCCAUUGGAUCCCACCUUCUGGUCCUUGGCUGUUCUCAUAGCAAGCCAACUCAGGACAGGCCUAGCAUGCCCUCUCUGAGGACAUGGCUCACAAGGGUUGCAAGAAAAUCUCUUUAUGCUUCCUUGUGUUGA
Molecule: long non-coding RNA, 415 nt
Filed under: Mustela putorius furo (domestic ferret)
Lineage: Eukaryota; Metazoa; Chordata; Mammalia; Carnivora; Mustelidae
Description: lncRNA (ENSMPUG00000029105.1)
Source: RNAcentral